AUAAGUUUCACAGAUUGAUGGAUUAUCAAUCGGUGGUUCAAUGACUCGAUUCUGCUAAGCAACGGAUUAAUUGAGGCGCGCCGGUAAUUCCGCUGGUAGAAUUUGCGGAAGUUCGCCAGGAAGGGUAUCCACGUGCGUUACGUGGAUACGACGUUCAAAACCGACACGGUGGUCCCGGAAUCUUGGCUCGAGAAACUCCAACGGUCCGAGUCCGCGCCGUUCGUAUUUCGAAUUAACAUCGCGACUCCGAACCCACGGCUAUAUUCGUUGGCCUUUGUUGGAACGCACGACUCGGUGGAACAUGGGUAAAGAUAGCCACAUUUCGUGGCAAAUGCUCGUGGUUUCGGGUCACGAUGACCUUGAAAUGGAAUUUACGCAACUGAUAUUUUAUUUACUUACGCUGGGCGUAGCUGCCGUUAAAAAAUUAUUAUCCUCCUGCUUCGCUGAACAGUCGAGAAGUUUAAGAAGAGUUAAAUCGUAACUUUUAAAUGUUGUGCGAGUUAAAAGGGAUUCGAAGCAAACACCGAGUGCGGUUUUAAG
Molecule: unclassified non-coding RNA, 540 nt
Filed under: Bombus terrestris (buff-tailed bumblebee)
Lineage: Eukaryota; Metazoa; Arthropoda; Insecta; Hymenoptera; Apidae
Description: misc RNA ENSBTSG00005032795.1
Source: RNAcentral